GGUACUGCUAUGAUCUGUUCACGAACGGUGGCUUCCCGUGUCACUGUAUCACCUUUGUUCUGAAUGAAUGAUCUGGGUUAGCUUGUGCAGGGUUCCGUAUUGGAGCUCCCACGAUGCAGGUUCGUGGGUUUGAUCUCUCUGUCUGCACCGGUACAACUUUUGAGGUCACAGCAAACGAACCGGCGGCCUACCACAUGACCAAUGCUUUGCCUUCCGGUGAGACAACCUAUGAGAAAGAGAAGAUUAGCUUACCCUUCUUUGAUUUCCUGGGUGUUGGAGCAUAGGGGCUCUCCACGCGAUAUGCACAGGAAAUCUGUGAAGGCUGGUGGUACAGGACCAAGAGAGGAGACCUGCAAAACGAAGAGAGGAGGGUGAAGGUGAAGUUGUAUCCAUAGUAGGCCAGACUUCUCAAGGUUGUCAGUCAACAAGUUCAAAAAACAUUUUAACAUGCGAAUUAAACCAGAUGAUAUGAUGCAUCAUCUGAUCUGUACCAAGAUUUCAAGGAAGGCAAUCAAAAUCAAAGAAAUGAAAAAUUCUUCCAAGAUCUACUGGGCAUGCUUGAACUUUUAAUUUCUCUAAAAUACUAGUGUAUUUUAUUAAUGCUUCCUCGCAAGCAAGGAGGCACCUACCACUAAUGACAUCUCUCUCUCUCCCCCGUGAGAGAGAUUU
This 669-nucleotide long non-coding RNA is filed under the name Musa acuminata (dwarf banana). RNAcentral describes it as "long non-coding RNA (MACU_LNC002948)". Lineage: Eukaryota; Viridiplantae; Streptophyta; Magnoliopsida; Zingiberales; Musaceae. The record is from RNAcentral.